AGAUUAGAGCUUGAAAGUAAGCGUUUUAUUUACAUUAAAAAGUAAAUUGUGAGAUUCAAUUUAAUUUGAU
RNAcentral lists this transfer RNA (70 nucleotides) under Erotylinae sp. 2 ACP-2013. RNAcentral's name for it is "tRNA-Val". The record is from RNAcentral. Lineage: Eukaryota; Metazoa; Arthropoda; Insecta; Coleoptera; Erotylidae.